GGCGAACGGGUGAGUAACACGUGAGUAACCUGCCCUUAACUCUGGGAUAAGCCUGGGAAACUGGGUCUAAUACCGGAUAUGACUGAUCAUCGCAUGGUGGUUGGUGGAAAGCUUUUUGUGGUUUUGGAUGGACUCGCGGCCUAUCAGCUUGUUGGUGAGGUAAUGGCUUACCAAGGCGACGACGGGUAGCCGGCCUGAGAGGGUGACCGGCCACACUGGGACUGAGACACGGCCCAGACUCCUACGGGAGGCAGCAGUGGGGAAUAUUGCACAAUGGGCGCAAGCCUGAUGCAGCGACGCCGCGUGAGGGAUGACGGCCUUCGGGUUGUAAACCUCUUUCAGUAGGGAAGAAGCGAAAGUGACGGUACCUGCAGAAGAAGCGCCGGCUAACUACCUGCCAGCAGCCGCGGUAAUACGUAGGGCGCAAGCGUUAUCCGGAAUUAUUGGGCGUAAAGAGCUCGUAGGCGGUUUGUCGCGUCUGCCGUGAAAGUCCGGGGCUCAACUCCGGAUCUGCGGUGGGUACGGGCAGACUAGAGUGAUGUAGGGGAGACUGGAAUUCCUGGUGUAGCGGUGAAAUGCGCAGAUAUCAGGAGGAACACCGAUGGCGAAGGCAGGUCUCUGGGCAUUAACUGACGCUGAGGAGCGAAAGCAUGGGGAGCGAACAGGAUUAGAUACCCUGGUAGUCCAUGCCGUAAACGUUGGGCACUAGGUGUGGGGGACAUUCCACGUUUUCCGCGCCGUAGCUAACGCAUUAAGUGCCCCGCCUGGGGAGUACGGCCGCAAGGCUAAAACUCAAAGGAAUUGACGG
This 808-nucleotide ribosomal RNA is filed under the name uncultured bacterium. RNAcentral's name for it is "bacterial SSU rRNA". It matches the Rfam family "Bacterial small subunit ribosomal RNA", at positions 97 to 916 of the family's 1533-position model. The record is from RNAcentral.